AGAUUGAACGCUGGCGGCAGGCCUAACACAUGCAAGUCGAGCGCCCGUAGCAAUACAUCACCGGCGGACGGGUGCGUAACGCGUGGGAAUGUACCUAUUGGUUCGGAACAACUGAGGGAAACUUCAGCUAAUACCGGAUGAGCCCGAAAGGGGAAAGAUUUCUCGCCAAUAGAUCAGCCCGCGUCCGAUUAGCUAGUUGGUGGGGUUAAAGCCUACCAAGGCGACGAUCGGUAGCUGUUCUGAGAGGAAGAUCAGCCACACUGGGACUGAGACACGGCCCAGACUCCUACGGGAGGCAGCAGUUGGGAAUCUUGGACAAUGGGGGAAACCCUGAUCCAGCCAUGCCGCGUGAGUGAUGAAGGCCUUCGGGUUGUAAAACUCUUUCGACGGGGACGAUAAGUGACGGUACCGUAGAAGAAGCUCCGGCUAACUUCGUGCCAGCAGCCGC
RNAcentral lists this ribosomal RNA (448 nucleotides) under uncultured bacterium. Its description in RNAcentral is "SSU rRNA". It matches the Rfam family "Bacterial small subunit ribosomal RNA", at positions 26 to 518 of the family's 1533-position model. The record is from RNAcentral.